RNAcentral lists this ribosomal RNA (207 nucleotides) under uncultured bacterium. Its description in RNAcentral is "partial 16S ribosomal RNA". It matches the Rfam family "Bacterial small subunit ribosomal RNA", at positions 568 to 774 of the family's 1533-position model. The record is from RNAcentral.
UGCGUAGGCGGUUUGGUAAGUCUGAUGUGAAAUCUAUGGGCUCAACUCAUAGUCUGCAUCGGAAACUGCCGGGCUUGAGUGUGGGAGAGGUGAGUGGAAUUCCUGGUGUAGCGGUGAAAUGCGUAGAUAUCAGGAGGAACACCUGUGGCGAAAGCGGCUCACUGGACCACAACUGACGCUGAUGCGCGAAAGCUAGGGGAGCAAACA